ACUGAAUAGAUACCCUGGUAGUCCAUGCCGUAAACUAUGGAUACUAGCUGUUGGGGGUAUCGACCCCUCCAGUAGCGAAAGCUAACGCGUUAAGUAUCCCGCCUGUGGAGUACGAUCGCAAGAUUAAAACAUAAAGGAAUUGACGGGGACCCGCACAAGCGGUGGAGCGUGUUCUUUAAUUCGAUGCUAAACGAAGAACCUUACCAGGGCUUGACAUCCCUUGAAUUACUCCGAAAGGAGUGAGUGCUUUAUUGAGCAAGGUGACAGGUGAUGCAUGGCCGUCGUCAGCUCGUGUCGUGAGAUGUUUGGUUAAGUCCAUCAACGAGCGCAACCCUUAUACUUAGUUGUAUUUUUCUAGGUAGACUGCCCCGG
RNAcentral lists this ribosomal RNA (372 nucleotides) under uncultured bacterium. Its description in RNAcentral is "bacterial SSU rRNA". It matches the Rfam family "Bacterial small subunit ribosomal RNA", at positions 772 to 1157 of the family's 1533-position model. The record is from RNAcentral.